RNAcentral lists this ribosomal RNA (136 nucleotides) under Paralabrax auroguttatus (goldspotted sand bass). Its description in RNAcentral is "partial 16S ribosomal RNA". Lineage: Eukaryota; Metazoa; Chordata; Actinopteri; Perciformes; Serranidae. The record is from RNAcentral.
GCCCCCCUAAACAAUUUCAAUAAUUCAACAUUUAUACCCCUUAAUAUAUUAUACAUUAACAAAACAAAUCAUUUUAUUCCCUUAGUAUAGGCGAUAAAAAAGGACCUCGGAGCCAUAGAGAAAGUACCGCAAGGGA